Molecule: ribosomal RNA, 460 nt
Filed under: uncultured bacterium
Lineage: Bacteria
Description: partial 16S ribosomal RNA
Rfam family: Bacterial small subunit ribosomal RNA
Source: RNAcentral
CCUACGGGUGGCAGCAGUGAGGAAUAUUGGUCAAUGGCCGGAAGGCUGAACCAGCCAUGCCGCGUGAAGGUCAGUGCCCUAUGGGCGUUAAACCUCUUUUGUGCGGGAGCAAUAAUGGUCAACUGUGGCCAGACGAGAGUACCGUACGAAUAAGCAUCGGCUAACUCCGUGCCAGCAGCCGCGGGUAUACGGGGGAUGCAGGCGUUAUACGGAUUUUUUGGGGUUGAAGGGUGCGUAGGCUGUGUGGUAAGUCAGCGGUGAAAUGCCUCCGGUCAAAGGGGUGAAGUGCCAUUGAUACUGGCUGGCUGGAGUGCGGAUGAGGUAGGAGGAAUGUGUGGUGUAGCGGUGAAAUGCAUAGAUAUCACGAAGAACACCGAUUGCGAAGGCAUCUCACGAAUCCGCGAUUGACGCUGAUGCACGAAAGCGUGGGUAUCAAACAGGAUUAGAUACCCGUGUAGUC